CAGCCGCCGCGGUAAUACCGGCGGCCCGAGUGGCGGUCACUAUUAUUGGGCUUAAAACGUCCGUAGCCGGGUUGGGAAGUCCUCCGGGAAAUCUGGCCGCUUAACGGUCAGAAUGCCGGAGGAUACUCCCAGCCUAGGGAGCGGGAGAGGCCGAGGGUAUUCCCGGGGUAGGGGUGAAAUCCUAUAAUCCCGGGAGGACCACCUGUGGCGAAGGCGCUCGGCUGGAACGCGUCCGACGGUGAGGGACGAAGGCCAGGGGAGCAAACCGGAUUAGAUACCCGGGUAGUCCUGGCUGUAAACGAUGCGGACUUUGUGUCGGACAAGCUAUGAGCUUGUUCGGUGCCGGAGGGAAACCGUUAAGUCCGCCGCCUGGGGAGUACGGCCGCAAGGCUGAAACUUAAAGGAAUUGGCGGG
This 414-nucleotide ribosomal RNA is filed under the name uncultured microorganism. RNAcentral describes it as "bacterial SSU rRNA". It matches the Rfam family "Archaeal small subunit ribosomal RNA", at positions 459 to 872 of the family's 1478-position model. The record is from RNAcentral.